Mycena epipterygia is the source of this 98-nucleotide non-coding RNA. NCBI's taxonomy places the organism in Eukaryota, Fungi, Basidiomycota, Agaricomycetes, Agaricales, Mycenaceae. The record is from the annotation of a GenBank genome assembly.
GCGGACGUAGUGCACGGUGCACCGCUGCCAUGCAUUGAUGUGUGUGUAUGUACUACAAUAGUAAGCAGCGAGACGGGGUUCGACUCCCCGCGUCCGCA